UGCACACAAGUCCCCCUACUGCUGCC
This 26-nucleotide non-coding RNA is filed under the name Homo sapiens (human). The record is from RNAcentral. Lineage: Eukaryota; Metazoa; Chordata; Mammalia; Primates; Hominidae.